CAAGGGUAUACACUAAAGAUUUUAUUGGAUUUAUUUAAGGUUUAAUGAAUACUUUGAUUCCUAUAUCGAAGGAAAAUAUUAAUUUGCUUCUCAAUAUUUUUUUUUACUCAAAUUGAUUUCCAAUUUUGUUUAAAAUCGUGAAAUGUUGGUCCUUCGGUUAAAUUGAAGUUAAUGUUGUCUAGUGGAUGUCAUGUGUCAUUAUCUUGAAUUUUUUUGUGUUUUCGUUUUUUUAAGUCUUUUUUCAUCCAUUCACCUCCUUCCUCCUCCUCCACUACUCAAUCCCUCCAUCUUCUUCCUCCUCUUCCUCUUUCCCUACAUCACCCCAUCAUCCGCUUUCUCAUCGCCCCCGACAUCCCCUCCUACACCACCACCAACCCUAACACUGUAAACACCACA
This 396-nucleotide long non-coding RNA is filed under the name Vigna radiata. RNAcentral describes it as "long non-coding RNA (VRAD_LNC002368)". Lineage: Eukaryota; Viridiplantae; Streptophyta; Magnoliopsida; Fabales; Fabaceae. The record is from RNAcentral.